This 465-nucleotide ribosomal RNA is filed under the name uncultured bacterium. Its description in RNAcentral is "partial 16S ribosomal RNA". It matches the Rfam family "Bacterial small subunit ribosomal RNA", at positions 28 to 507 of the family's 1533-position model. The record is from RNAcentral.
GACGAACGCUGGCGGCGUGCUUAACACAUGCAAGUCGUACGGUAAGGCCCUUUCGGGGGUCCACGAGUGGCGAACGGGUGAGUAACACGUGAGUAACCUGCCCACAACUUUGGGAUAACGCUAGGAAACUGGUGCUAAUACUGGAUAUGUGCCCCUGCUGCAUGGUGGGGGUUGGAAAGCUCCGGCGGCUGUGGAUGGACUCGCGGCCUAUCAGCUUGUUGGUGGGGUAGUGGCCUACCAAGGCGGCGACGGGUAGCCGGCCUGAGAGGGUGACCGGCCACAUUGGGACUGAGAUACGGCCCAGACUCCUACGGGAGGCAGCAGUGGGGAAUAUUGCACAAGGGGCGCAAGCCUGAUGCAGCAACGCCGCGUGCGGGAUGACGGCCUUCGGGUUGUAAACCGCGUUCAGCAGGGACGAAGCUUUUUGUGACGGUACCUGCAGAAGAAGCACCGGCUAACUACGUG